Homo sapiens (human) is the source of this 803-nucleotide long non-coding RNA. Ensembl annotates it as long intergenic non-protein coding RNA 2465. Lineage: Eukaryota; Metazoa; Chordata; Mammalia; Primates; Hominidae. The record is from Ensembl.
AUCUCUUCUAAGAUGUCUUGAUCGACUGACCCCAAAGCCAGAGGGUACCAGGUCAAAAAGCAAGCAAAGGUGCUGCUGGUUACUCUUGGUUCAUCUAGCAAUAGAUGAUCUGAAUGUUAGAGUUCGCCAAAUAUUGUUCCUGGGCAGUCUUUGCUCUACCAAAUCAACUUUCUCCAUGGGGGAGCUAGAAGUCACCCCACAUUCUCCGCCAUGGCCAGCUCUACAUUCUAAGAGAACCAAUGGCUCUACCCAACAUAUUCUUCUCACCACAGAUGACAAAGACACAAGGAGCCAAGACAGAUCAUUCAAGCAUAUUCAUUGCCUCUAUCUUCAUCCCAUUAAAUAACAUCCCGCCAACCAAAGCAAGUUAUCUGCAUAAGAAUAAAUAUUCCACCUACUCUACUGCAAGGCCCUGCAAGAGUCAUGAGACAAAAGGAUCCUCUGUGGACAGCACCCAAGAUGGAAACAACUGACAGUCUAUGGCCAGGGCUAUACUCUGGUGAAACUGAAAGGUGUCUGCAUGGAAGUGUCUGACUACCACCAUCCACUCAGGCAAAUGCAUUUGUUUCCCUCUAUUCAUUAUUAGAAGAGAGGAGAUUACAUACCAGACAUAUACCAAUAGGUUUUCUCUUCAUAAUACCUACGUCAUCUAGUAGCAUAACAUAAGGCAGAAUCCUUCAAAGCAGAUCCACGUAAGACACUUGCAUCCAAGACAAGUCAGAAUGAUUACAUAUGAAAGUUUUAAUUGCACUGUAUGGGGAUAUUGCUGUGUUGUGAAUUAAAUAAGAAUUCAUAUUUUCUUA